RNAcentral lists this ribosomal RNA (446 nucleotides) under uncultured bacterium. RNAcentral's name for it is "partial 16S ribosomal RNA". It matches the Rfam family "Bacterial small subunit ribosomal RNA", at positions 338 to 795 of the family's 1533-position model. The record is from RNAcentral.
CCUACGGGAGGCAGCAGUCGAGAAUCAUUCACAAUGGGGGAAACCCUGAUGGUGCGACGCCGCGUGGGGGAAUGAAGGUCUUCGGAUUGUAAACCCCUGUCAUGUGGGAGAAAAUUAAAAAGAUAGUACCACAAGAGGAAGAGGCGGCUAACUCUGUGCCAGCAGCCGAGGUAAUACAGAGGUCUCAAGCGUUGUUCGGAUUCACUGGGCGUAAAGCGUGCGUAGGCUGUUUCGUAAGGCGUGUGUGAAAGGCGCGGGCUCAACCCGCGGACGGCACAUGAUACUGCGAGACUAGAGUAAUGGAGGGGGAACCGGAAUUCUCGGUGUAGCAGUGAAAUGCGUAGAUAUCGAGAGGAACACUCGUGGCGAAGGCGGGUUCCUGGACAUUAACUGACGCUGAGGCACGAAGGCCAGGGGAGCGAAAGGGAUUAGAUACCCUUGUAGUC